Molecule: long non-coding RNA, 2348 nt
Organism: Zingiber officinale
Lineage: Eukaryota; Viridiplantae; Streptophyta; Magnoliopsida; Zingiberales; Zingiberaceae
Exons: 3
Source: RefSeq, a predicted model, not a curated record
GAUCACACGGAGCAGAGUGAACAUUUUACUUGUCGUAAUAAUUUCUUCGUCCCACAUCUUUGGCCCUAACCCGACGAAGGAAACGAAAGGCGAAGAACGGGUGUUCUUACUCAGCCAUCGCCGGCCAACGGAGACCUUAAUAGCGGUGAGGCGACAAGGGAUUUCGUUCCAUAUUCGACCGAAGUUAUCUUGCUUAUUACUGAAACCAGAUCAGUUUAACUAAACCAUGGAUCGAACAAAUGGAGAUGACCAUGAAGGAGUCAGUGUCAUGGGUUUUGAAGUUCCCACGUCGCCCGAUUCAAGCUACAACAAUCCCAUACCAAGAAUUGAGGAUGAAGCUCGAGACCCCCUGCUUGUCCCUCCUCAUCUGCAGCAAACCUUGCUGAACUAUCUACCCAGCCAAGAUGAUCCAAAUAGUCUUUCUGUGCCUCAAAAUGUGAUUCUUAACCACCUCUACAUUGAAAAUCGAGAUGUCUCCAGAUCUGCUGCUGCUCUUGGGAUAACCCAUCGUUUCUUAUCUAAAUAUGUUACUGUUGUUCUUUAUAAGCCGGUCCAGAGAAGGUGAUCAUGAACACUGAAUCCUUAUUCGUCCAUGGCUAUUCAGUCCAUAUUCAGGAGAACUGGUGGCUUUGAUUGUUAUCAUUUGAUAAGUAAUCCCCACUUUUCAGUUGCACAGCUGGUCUGUUGAACUCAUUUUAUUUAAUUCUGGAUCAAAUAUUCUGAAUGCAAGAAGUGUUGUUCCUUCCUGCAAACCACCUUUUUCCUUUUUUUUUAGUUUGCAGUAUGUUACUCAUGUGUAUGUUAGGUUGGCCUUUGUUGUUACAAUGCCUAGUGUUUUUGCGUGUUUGGCCAUAGACAAAACUAAACCUUAUCCAGUCAAGCCAGAGAGUAUUCUACCCAUGUGUUUGUGGAAUUUGAGGAUAGAAUCCUAGUGAGAGAAUUAUUUAGCUUCAGCAUGCCAUGCUCUGUAUACAACUCGCAUUUUUCAGUUUUGCACUAUUAUUUUCAGCUUAUGCCCCUAAAUUAAUUAUUCGCUUUUCAGGCACAAUUCAACAAAGUGAGUGGGACCUUUCAUUAUUAUUUUCAGCAACACUAUAUUUUUCUUUCUUGUCCUGUUUCUCAUUACAAAUACUUGUUUGUACUAUCCACAUUAGGCAAAUAUGACAAUGAUAUACAUGUGGAUUUUUUUUUUAUCUUUGCAGGAUUUUAGCAUCUGUUUUUUUUACCAAAAAGAAGAAUAUAUUACCACCUUCUAUGUCAUGAAAAGGAUGGAGAGUUGCAUAAAUUAUGUCAAAAAGUUAUGAAUAGGAAUUUUAAUUGUAUGUUGCUUUACCAUUAUGCCAUCAUUUCUCAUUGAAAUAUGAUUUAGGCAUGAUUAGCGCAAUGAUGUGAUUAGAUUUAUGUGGAUUCUGAAUAGCUAGUGCUACUAAUUGUUGUGCAUGAAUACAAAUUCUAGGAUGAGCACAAGUUUGAUUACUUUACUAGAAACACAUGUUUUUCUUUUUUUGGAGAAAGAAAAUAGGUGGAGGCCAAUUCUUCAUCAGAAAAGGACUAGCAGCUCAGUGCCUGUUCUUGGUUUCAGCUAGUGACUAGUUGAUUGCCAUUAUGAAGCCUAUCCAUUUCAAUUCCUUAUCAUGUCAAGGAAGGGGCCAAAACCUAAUUACCAUAAUCUCAUCUGCCCCCACACCUCUGUGCCCUUGACCCCACCAAUCUCAGAUACUGUCUAUUGCUAGCUAUAAAGCUCUCAGUUCAUAGCCAUCAAUACUUAAAUGAGAUCUCAAAUCCAAAAAGAGCCAACCACAAGCAGGAUCUCAUAUUGAAGCACCAUCAGACCUUUUCCUUUCAUUGGUCUGCAUCUGUUUGAGCUUAGAAAAGAGAGAAGAGUUGCUGGCAAUGGCAAAGAGGGAGAAGAAGCUGCAAUCCUUAUCUUUCACGCACCGGUGCCGGCUGCUAGUAAGUGAGCAAAGGGCAAGGUUCUACAUCCUCCGGCGAUGCAUCAUGAUGUUGAUUUGCUGGAAUGAAAGAGACUAGUUCAUAUUAUACAUAGAAGAGUUAUAGAUUGAUAUAAUUCGCUACUUGAUAUAUGAAGAUGAGCUUUUAGCUCUAGAAAAUUUAUCUAAAGCUAUACAGCUUGUCCAUAUAUAUAAUGAAUAUAAUUAUCAAGGAAUGAGUCUGAUGACUGUAUCUUUCUUUAUAAUUUGUUUUUUCUUCUGAAGUUACCUUCAACCUAUAUGAUCUUUGAUAUAAAGAGCCAAACAUGACUUCUUUCCAUUAUUCUGUAUUCACGUUCAUCUUAUAAUAUAGAAGAGCAUGAUGAAUCAAUUAAGAUGAUGCUCUUUUGAUGUGUG